GACGAACGCUGGCGGCGUGCUUAACACAUGCAAGUCGAACGCUGAAGCUUGGUGCUUGCACUGGGUGGAUGAGUGGCGAACGGGUGAGUAAUAAGUGAGUAACCUGCCCUUGACUCUGGGAUAAGCCUGGGAAACUGGGUCUAAUACUGGAUACGACAUGUCACCGCAUGGUGGUGUGUGGAAAGGGUUUUACUGGUUUUGGAUGGGCUCACGGCCUAUCAGCUUGUUGGUGGGGUAAUGGCUCACCAAGGCGACGACGGGUAGCCGGCCUGAGAGGGUGACCGGCCACACUGGGACUGAGACACGGCCCAGACGCCUACGGGAGGCAGCAGUGGGAAUAUUGCACAAUGGGCGGAAGCCUGAUGCAGCGACGCCGCGUGAGGGAUGACGGCCUUCGGGUUGUAAACCUCUUUCAGCACGGAAGAAGCGAAAGUGACGGUACGUGCAGAAGAAGCGCCGGCUAACUACGUG
Molecule: ribosomal RNA, 471 nt
Filed under: uncultured bacterium
Lineage: Bacteria
Description: partial 16S ribosomal RNA
Rfam family: Bacterial small subunit ribosomal RNA
Source: RNAcentral